GGCUUAGUAGCUCAACUGGUAGAGCGCUUGCCGUGUUGAGGCAUCCUGUGUCUUUCACUGGUUGGAAUCCAGUCGAAGCCC
RNAcentral lists this transfer RNA (81 nucleotides) under Paragonimus westermani. RNAcentral's name for it is "tRNA-Asn". It matches the Rfam family "tRNA". Rfam says of the family: Transfer RNA (tRNA) molecules are approximately 80 nucleotides in length. Their secondary structure includes four short double-helical elements and three loops (D, anti-codon, and T loops). Further hydrogen bonds mediate the characteristic L-shaped molecular structure. tRNAs have two regions of fundamental functional importance: the anti-codon, which is responsible for specific mRNA codon recognition, and the 3' end, to which the tRNAs corresponding amino acid is attached (by aminoacyl-tRNA synthetases). tRNAs cope with the degeneracy of the genetic code in two manners: having more than one tRNA (with a specific anti-codon) for a particular amino acid; and 'wobble' base-pairing, i.e. permitting non-standard base-pairing at the 3rd anti-codon position. Lineage: Eukaryota; Metazoa; Platyhelminthes; Trematoda; Plagiorchiida; Troglotrematidae. The record is from RNAcentral.